RNAcentral lists this transfer RNA (70 nucleotides) under Loxodonta africana (African savanna elephant). It matches the Rfam family "tRNA". From Rfam's summary of the family: Transfer RNA (tRNA) molecules are approximately 80 nucleotides in length. Their secondary structure includes four short double-helical elements and three loops (D, anti-codon, and T loops). Lineage: Eukaryota; Metazoa; Chordata; Mammalia; Proboscidea; Elephantidae. The record is from Rfam by way of RNAcentral.
GCAGUGGUGGUUAAGUGGUAAAAUUCUUGCCUUCCAUGCAGGAACCUCAGUUUGAUUCCUAGCCAUUGAA